Molecule: non-coding RNA, 439 nt
Organism: Aegilops tauschii subsp. strangulata
Lineage: Eukaryota; Viridiplantae; Streptophyta; Magnoliopsida; Poales; Poaceae
Source: RefSeq, a predicted model, not a curated record
GCUUGAUGAUGAUAUGACUUUGACGGACGCUCAACUUCGGUCCCCAUAUGUGUUCAAGCCUAGGCAGCCCAGACGCCGGUACACGCCCAACGACUUUGACAACAGAGGCAACCCAAAGGUGGUCGUAGGGACCUCGCGGAUGGCUAGCUUGGAUCAUGAGGCGGAGGCGGAGGCGGAGGAGGCAGUGCAGGAAGAGGAGGCUCGUCCACCCAGGAAGAAGAAGAUUGCCUGCAGGCGUGGCACCAGGAACACGCGCGGAAGGCAUUAGUGCUUGUGUUAGUUAGUGCUCUUGUAGCCGUUUCAUUAGGUCGAUGAACUUGUGAGGUUAUGUUAUAUGUUGGUGAAUUCUUACUAGUGUGGUAUUUGUGUUUGCGAACUAGUAGUAAUGUUGAAUUGUCCUAAAUGAUGUGAUGUUCAAGUUAUUAGUUGUCUUUGUUCA